AGAGUUUGAUCAUGGCUCAGAUUGAACGCUGGCGGCGUGCCUAACACAUGCAAGUCGAGCGGUAACAGGUGUAGCAAUACAUGCUGACGAGCGGCGAACGGGUGAGUAAUGCUUUGGAAUCUUCCCAGUAGUGGGGAAUAACCAGUCGAAAGAUUGGCUAAUACCGCAUACGUCUGUAAAGGGAAAGCGGGGGCUCGUAAGACCUCGCGCUAUUGGAUGAGCCAAAGUCGGAUUAGCUAGUUGGUGGGGUAAUGGCCUACCAAGGCGACAAUCCGUAGCUGGUCUGAGAGGACGACCAGCCACACCGGAACUGAGACACGGUCCGGACUCCUACGGGAGGCAGCAGUGGGGAAUAUUGGACAAUGGGGGAAACCCUGAUCCAGCGACGCCGCGUGUGUGAAGAAGGCCUGCGGGUUGUAAAGCACUUUUAGUGGGGACAAAAAGCUACGGAUUAAUACUCUGUGGUCUUGAUUUAACCUACAGAAAAAGCACCGGCUAACUCUGUGCCAGCAGCCGCGGUAAUACAGAGGGUGCGAGCGUUAAUCGGAAUUACUGGGCGUAAAGCGCGCGUAGACGGUUUUGUAAGUCAGAUGUGAAAUCCCUGGGCUCAACCUGGGAACUGCAUUUGAGACUGCAUGGCUAGAGUAUCGAAGAGGGAAAGUGGAAAUUUCCGGUGUAGCGGUGAAAAUGCGUAGAUAUCGGAAAGGAACACCAGUGGCGAAAAGCGACUUCCUGGUCGAAUACUGACGUUCAAUGUGCGAAAGCGUGGGGAGCAAACAGGAAUUAGAUACCCCUGUAGUCC
RNAcentral lists this ribosomal RNA (802 nucleotides) under uncultured bacterium. RNAcentral describes it as "bacterial SSU rRNA". It matches the Rfam family "Bacterial small subunit ribosomal RNA", at positions 8 to 796 of the family's 1533-position model. The record is from RNAcentral.